Molecule: ribosomal RNA, 506 nt
Filed under: uncultured bacterium
Lineage: Bacteria
Description: partial 16S ribosomal RNA
Rfam family: Bacterial small subunit ribosomal RNA
Source: RNAcentral
GAUGAACGCUAGCUACAGGCUUAACACAUGCGAGUCGAGGGGUAACGAGAGGAAAGCUUGCUUUCCUUGUCGACGACCGGCGCACGGGUGAGUAACGCGUAUCCAACCUGCCCCCAACUAGGGAAUAACCUUGCGAAAGUAAGACUAAUACCCUAUAAUUUCCUCAGAUGUCAUCUGACGAGGAAUAAAGAUUUAUCGGUUGUGGAUGGGGAUGCGUCUGAUUAGCUUGUUGGCGGGGUAACGGCCCACCAAGGCAACGAUCAGUAGGGGUUCUGAGAGGAAGGUCCCCCACAUUGGAACUGAGACACGGUCCAAACUCCUACGGGAGGCAGCAGUGAGGAAUAUUGGUCAAUGGGCGGAAGCCUGAACCAGCCAAGUAGCGUGCAGGAUGAUGGCCCUAUGGGUUGUAAACUGCUUUUAUACAGGAAUAAAGUUAGCCACGUGUGGUUAUUUGUAGGUACUGUAUGAAUAAGGACCGGCUAAUUCCGUGCCAGCCGCCGCCGUAA